GAUGAACGCUGGCGGCGUGCCUAAUACAUGCAAGUCGAGCGAACAGACGAGGAGCUUGCUCCUCUGAUGUUAGCGGCGGACGGAUGAGUAACACGUGGAUAACCUACCUAUAAGACUGGGAUAACUUCGGGAAACCGGAGCUAAUACCGGAUAACAUGUUGAACCGCAUGGUUCAACAGUGAAAGACGGUCUUGCUGUCACUUAUAGAUGGAUCCGCGCCGCAUUAGCUAGUUGGUAAGGUAACGGCUUACCAAGGCAACGAUGCGUAGCCGACCUGAGAGGGUGAUCGGCCACACUGGAACUGAGACACGGUCCAGACUCCUACGGGAGGCAGCAGUAGGGAAUCUUCCGCAAUGGGCGAAAGCCUGACGGAGCAACGCCGCGUGAGUGAAGAAGGUCUUCGGAUCGUAAAACUCUGUUAUUAGGGAAGAACAAAUGUGUAAGUAACUAUGCACGUCUUGACGGUACCUAAGCAGAAAGCCACGGCUAACUACGU
RNAcentral lists this ribosomal RNA (496 nucleotides) under uncultured bacterium. RNAcentral describes it as "partial 16S ribosomal RNA". It matches the Rfam family "Bacterial small subunit ribosomal RNA", at positions 28 to 506 of the family's 1533-position model. The record is from RNAcentral.